This 701-nucleotide ribosomal RNA is filed under the name Fusarium oxysporum. RNAcentral's name for it is "SSU rRNA". It matches the Rfam family "Bacterial small subunit ribosomal RNA", at positions 359 to 949 of the family's 1533-position model. The record is from RNAcentral. Lineage: Eukaryota; Fungi; Ascomycota; Sordariomycetes; Hypocreales; Nectriaceae.
UUAGUCAAUGGCCUAACGGCUGAACUGGCAACUUGGAGAAGUGGCAAGUCUUCCAGUAUGGGGAGCAAAACAGCUAUGGGUCAAGUCCGAUAUCUUUAGGAGAAGUCUUAUUGUGAGGGCGAGUUAUAUAACACCAUAGGACUGGCCGUCCCAUAUGAAAAGAUUAUAUUAGAAUUGAAUGAAGCUUUGUUUAUAUAUUGAUAAUGACAGUAUAUAUAUCGUGUCUUGACUAAUUGCGUGCCAGCAGUCGCGGUAAUACGUAAGAGACUAGUGUUAUUCAUCUUAAUUAGGUUUAAAGGGUACCCAGACGGUCAAUAUAGCUUAUAAAAUGUUAGUACUUGACUAGAGUUUUAUGUAAGAGGGCAGUACUUGAGGAGGAGAGAUGAAAUUUCGUGAUACCAAAGGGACUCUGUAAAGGCGAAGGCAGCCCUCUAUGUAAAAACUGACGUUGAAGGACGAAGGCACAGAGAACAAACAGGAUUAGAUACCCAAGUAGUCUUUGCAGUAAAUGAUGAAUGCCAUAGGUUAGAUUGGUCAAUUAUAGUCUAGGGUUAGUCUAGCAAACUAAUACCCUAUGCUAUAAUCCUAAUAUCUGGUCUAUAAAUGAAAGUGUAAGCAUUUCACCUCAAGAGUAAUGUGGCAACGCAGGAACUGAAAUCACUAGACCGUUUCUGACACCAGUAGUGAAGUAUGUUAUUUAA